AUCUCUCCCUCCCAUCCAUAUCUUUCCCCUACAUCUUUCCCUCCCUUUUAUAUUUCUCCCCCACAUCUCUCCGUCCCUUUCGUAUCUCUCCUUGCCAUCCAUAUCUUUCCCUUCCCAAAGAACUGGAUACUAUGUAGACAGCAUCCGUAGCUUGGCAUAAAUAGUGAGCUUUACCUUAACUAAUUUCAUUGUCAGCUAGUCCACAAAACAUUUGUUCCCUCUCAAGUUUCCAUACUUACAAUACAUA
Molecule: non-coding RNA, 247 nt
Organism: Pelobates cultripes (western spadefoot toad)
Lineage: Eukaryota; Metazoa; Chordata; Amphibia; Anura; Pelobatidae
Source: the annotation of a GenBank genome assembly